GUGGGGAAUCUUGCGCAAUGGGCGAAAGCCUGACGCAGCCAUGCCGCGUGAAUGAUGAAGGUCUUAGGAUUGUAAAAUUCUUUCACCGGGGACGAUAAUGACGGUACCCGGAGAAGAAGCUCCGGCUAACUUCGUGCCAGCAGCCGCGGUAAUACGAAGGGGGCUAGCGUUGCUCGGAAUUACUGGGCGUAAAGGGCGCGUAGGCGGAUAGCUUAGUCAGAGGUGAAAGCCCAGGGCUAAACCUUGGAAUUGCCUUUGAUACUGGCUGUCUUGAGUUUGGGAGAGGUGAGUGGAACUCCGAGUGUAGAGGUGAAAUUCGUAGAUAUUCGGAAGAACACCAGUGGCGAAGGCGACUCACUGGCCCAAUACUGACGCUGAGGCGCGAAAGCGUGGGGAGCAAACAGGAUUAGAUACCCUGGUAGUCC
This 425-nucleotide ribosomal RNA is filed under the name uncultured bacterium. RNAcentral's name for it is "partial 16S ribosomal RNA". It matches the Rfam family "Bacterial small subunit ribosomal RNA", at positions 354 to 796 of the family's 1533-position model. The record is from RNAcentral.